This 85-nucleotide transfer RNA is filed under the name Felis catus (domestic cat). Its description in RNAcentral is "tRNA-Sup (TCA) (tRNA-Sup-TCA-5-1)". It matches the Rfam family "tRNA". Rfam says of the family: Transfer RNA (tRNA) molecules are approximately 80 nucleotides in length. Their secondary structure includes four short double-helical elements and three loops (D, anti-codon, and T loops). Lineage: Eukaryota; Metazoa; Chordata; Mammalia; Carnivora; Felidae. The record is from Rfam by way of RNAcentral.
GCCUGGGUGGCUCAGUUGGUUGAGCGUCUGACUUCAGCUCAGGUCAUGAUCUCACAGCUCGUGGGUUCAAGCCCCACGUCAGGCU